AACGUAGGUUCCGAGCGUUAUCCGGAUUUACUGGGCGUAAAGCGCGUUCAGGCGGUUUGGCAAGUCGGGCAUGAAAUCUCUCGGCUCAACCGGGAGAGGUUGUCCGAUACUGUUAGACUGGAGGGCAGUAGAGGGUGGUGGAAUUCCGGGUGUAGUGGUGAAAUGCGUAGAGAUCCGGAGGAACACCAGUGGCGAAAGCGGCCACCUGGACUGCACCUGACGCUGAAACGCGAAAGCUAGGGGAGCGAACGGG
Molecule: ribosomal RNA, 253 nt
Filed under: uncultured bacterium
Lineage: Bacteria
Description: partial 16S ribosomal RNA
Rfam family: Bacterial small subunit ribosomal RNA
Source: RNAcentral